This 499-nucleotide ribosomal RNA is filed under the name uncultured bacterium. Its description in RNAcentral is "bacterial SSU rRNA". It matches the Rfam family "Bacterial small subunit ribosomal RNA", at positions 15 to 507 of the family's 1533-position model. The record is from RNAcentral.
GAUCAUGGCUCAGGAUGAACGCUAGCGGCAGGCUUAACACAUGCAAGUCGAGGGGGUAUAGGAAGCUUGCUUCCUAGAGACCGGCGCACGGGGUGCGUAACGCGUAUGCAACCUACCUUUUACAGAGGGAUAGCCCAGAGAAUUUGGAUUAAUACCUCAUAGUGUUAUUAGAUGGCAUCAUUUGAUAACUAAAGUUCCAACGGUAAAAGAUGGGCAUGCGUCCUAUUAGCUAGAUGGUAAGGUAACGGCUUACCAUGGCUACGAUAGGUAGGGGUCCUGAGAGGGAGAUCCCCCACACUGGUACUGAGACACGGACCAGACUCCUACGGGAGGCAGCAGUGGGGAAUUUUGGACAAUGGGCGCAAGCCUGAUCCAGCAAUGCCGCGUGCAGGAUGAAGGCCUUCGGGUUGUAAACUGCUUUUGUACGGAACGAAACGGUGAGCUCUAAUACAGUUUGCUAAUGACGGUACCGUAAGAAUAAGCACCGGCUAACUACGUG